Molecule: non-coding RNA, 105 nt
Organism: Fomitopsis betulina (razor strop fungus)
Lineage: Eukaryota; Fungi; Basidiomycota; Agaricomycetes; Polyporales; Fomitopsidaceae
Source: the annotation of a GenBank genome assembly
GCCUGCCUAGCUCAAUCGGAUAGAGCGUCAGACUCUUAUGAGGGCACGGUGAAUUGCGUACUUCUGCAAAUCUGAAGGCUGCGAGUUCGACCCUCGCGGUGGGCU